UACGUAGGGGCCUAGCGUUGUCCGGAUUUAUUGGGCGUAAAGAGCUCGUAGGCGGCUUGGUUAGUCAGGUGUGAAAUCUCCACGCUCAACGUGGAGGGGCCACCUGAUACUGCCAUGGCUUGAGUCCGGUAGGGGAGUGUGGAAUUCCCGGUGUAGCGGUGAAAUGCGCAGAUAUCGGGAGGAACACCAAUAGCGAAGGCAGCUCGCUGGGACGUAACUGACACUGAGGCGCGAAAGCGUGGGGAGCGAACAGG
This 254-nucleotide ribosomal RNA is filed under the name uncultured bacterium. Its description in RNAcentral is "partial 16S ribosomal RNA". It matches the Rfam family "Bacterial small subunit ribosomal RNA", at positions 524 to 776 of the family's 1533-position model. The record is from RNAcentral.